AAUUCCGUAGGUGAACCUGCGGAGGGAUCAUUACCGAGUUUACAACUCCCAAACCCCUGUGAACAUACCAAUUGUUGCCUCGGCGGAUCAGCCCGCUCCCGGUAAAACGGGACGGCCCGCCAGAGGACCCCUAAACUCUGUUUCUAUAUGUAACUUCUGAGUAAAACCAUAAAUAAAUCAAAACUUUCAACAACGGAUCUCUUGGUUCUGGCAUCGAUGAAGAACGCAGCAAAAUGCGAUAAGUAAUGUGAAUUGCAGAAUUCAGUGAAUCAUCGAAUCUUUGAACGCACAUUGCGCCCGCCAGUAUUCUGGCGGGCAUGCCUGUUCGAGCGUCAUUUCAACCCUCAAGCCCCCGGGUUUGGUGUUGGGGAUCGGCGAGCCCUUGCGGCAAGCCGGCCCCGAAAUCUAGUGGCGGUCUCGCUGCAGCUUCCAUUGCGUAGUAGUAAAACCCUCGCAACUGGUACGCGGCGCGGCCAAGCCGUUAAACCCCCAACUUCUGAAUGUUGACCUCGGAUCAGGUAGGAAUACCCGCUGAACUUAAGCAUAUCAAUAAGCGGAGGA
This 561-nucleotide ribosomal RNA is filed under the name Fusarium sp. CID124. RNAcentral describes it as "eukaryotic LSU rRNA". The stretch from base 182 to 335 matches the Rfam family "5.8S ribosomal RNA". Lineage: Eukaryota; Fungi; Ascomycota; Sordariomycetes; Hypocreales; Nectriaceae. The record is from RNAcentral.